RNAcentral lists this non-coding RNA (99 nucleotides) under bovine gut metagenome. RNAcentral's name for it is "TPP riboswitch (THI element)". The stretch from base 4 to 89 matches the Rfam family "TPP riboswitch aptamer (THI element)", at positions 10 to 89 of the family's 105-position model. Rfam says of the family: Vitamin B(1) in its active form thiamin pyrophosphate (TPP) is an essential coenzyme that is synthesised by coupling of pyrimidine and thiazole moieties in bacteria. The previously detected thiamin-regulatory element, thi box was extended, resulting in a new, highly conserved RNA secondary structure, the THI element, which is widely distributed in eubacteria and also occurs in some archaea. Analysis of operon structures identified a large number of new candidate thiamin-regulated genes, mostly transporters, in various prokaryotic organisms. The record is from RNAcentral.
CAAAAGGGGAGCUUGCCGGAGCAGGCUGAGAGGGCGCUUUGAUCAGUGCCGACCCUGUAACCUGAUUUGGAUAAUGCCAACGUAGGGAUGCGGAGAUAG